This is a long non-coding RNA of Molossus molossus (Pallas's mastiff bat), 312 nucleotides long. RefSeq lists it as uncharacterized. The record is from RefSeq and is a predicted model, not a curated record. The transcript has 3 exons. Lineage: Eukaryota; Metazoa; Chordata; Mammalia; Chiroptera; Molossidae.
UGCUGAAGGAGAAGUUUCCUUGUAGAUGUUGGAAAGAAGUGAGUUUGCUUUCAGAGGUGUUGAGUUCGAGAUUACCGUGAAGCACCUGACAACAUAUAUCAAGCACAAAUCUGGGGCUCGAAAGAAAUGUCUGGACUGGAGUCUGCAGGCUCACAACUCCCUUUACCCUCAGCCGAUUAUUCUUCCUUCUGUUUCAAGUCCACUCCUCAAAAUUCAGUUCAGACCUCACUUCCAGAGAAGAAUUCUUAGUCCCAUUUUCCUUGUAGACAGGAAUAGAAGCUCCAUCACUCCUGAGGGGUACUGACUGCUUUG